GCAAACGUUAUUCGGAAUCACUGGGCCUAAAGGGCGCGAAGGCGGCUCCACAAGUCAGGGGUGAAAUCCGGCAGCUUAACUGUCGCAGUGCCUUUGAUACUGUGGAGCUAGAGGGAGGUAGGGGUCUGUGGAACUUCCGGUGGAGCGGUGAAAUGCGUUGAUAUCGGAAGGAACGCCGGUGGCGAAAGCGACGGACUGGAUCUCUUCUGACGCUGAGGCGCGAAAGCCAGGGGAGCAAACGGG
Molecule: ribosomal RNA, 243 nt
Filed under: uncultured bacterium
Lineage: Bacteria
Description: partial 16S ribosomal RNA
Rfam family: Bacterial small subunit ribosomal RNA
Source: RNAcentral